CGGUAUGGUAUUGGCCUACCGUGGCAGUGACGGUUAACGGGGGAUUAGGGUUCGAUUCCGGAGAGGGAGCCUGAGAAACGGCUACCACAUCUAAGGAAGGCAGCAGGCGCGCAAAUUACCCAAUUUUAACAGCAUAAGAGAGGUAGUGACAAGAAAUAACAGUACAAGGCAGUUAAAAUGCUUUGUAAUUGGAAUGAUAGAAAUUUAAAUACUUUUUAAAGUAUCAAUUGGAGGGCAAGUCUGGUGCCAGCAGCCGCGGUAAUUCCAGCUCCAAUAGCGUAUAUUAAAAUUGUUGCAGUUAAAAAGCUCGUAGUUGAAUAUCUGCUAGAAAUAACCGGUCUGCUUUUAUUAAUAAAAGUGGUAUCUUGGUGUGUUUUUAGCAAUAAUGUCCUUUGAAAUGUUUUUUACUUUACUGUAAAAAACAAAAUUCAGGAUUUUUACUUUGAGAAAAUUAGAGUGUUUCAAGCAGGCUAACGUUUUGAAUACUGCAGCAUGGAAUAAUAAAAUAGGAUUUUAGUUCUACGUUAUUGGUUUUAAGAACUAAAAUUAAUGAUUGAUAGGGGCAGUUGGGGGCAUUUGUAUU
This 583-nucleotide ribosomal RNA is filed under the name Hepatozoon sp. ex Stegonotus cucullatus. RNAcentral's name for it is "SSU rRNA". It matches the Rfam family "Eukaryotic small subunit ribosomal RNA", at positions 326 to 898 of the family's 1831-position model. The record is from RNAcentral. Lineage: Eukaryota; Apicomplexa; Hepatozoidae.